UACGUAGGGGGCUAGCGUUAUCCGGAUUUACUGGGUGUAAAGGGAGCGUAGACGGCAUGGCAAGUCAGAUGUGAAAGCCCGGGGCUCAACCCCGGGACUGCAUUUGAAACUGUCAGGCUGGAGUGCAGGAGAGGUAAGCGGAAUUCCUAGUGUAGCGGUGAAAUGCGUAGAUAUUAGGAGGAACACCAGUGGCGAAGGCGGCUUACUGGACUGUAACUGACGUUGAGGCUCGAAAGCGUGGGGAGCAAACAGG
RNAcentral lists this ribosomal RNA (253 nucleotides) under uncultured bacterium. Its description in RNAcentral is "partial 16S ribosomal RNA". It matches the Rfam family "Bacterial small subunit ribosomal RNA", at positions 524 to 776 of the family's 1533-position model. The record is from RNAcentral.